GCCCCUGGUGUCCCCCCGGUGUCCCCUCGGUGUCCCCCCGGUGUCCCCGCCGCGGCUCAGGGGCCGCAGGGACGCGCUCACGGCUCCGUCCCGCUGUGCCGUGCCUCGCAGACGGUGCGGAAAAGGGCUCUGCCCGCUCCCCGGGGGCAGGACGGCGGCUGACCCAAAAUGGCCGCCCCGGGGGCACAGGGAGCGGCAGCAGCCGCUCAGGGAGGUGGGCACCGAGCUCGCACAUCUCCCUCAGCAACUGGAGUUUGGGUUUAAAUCAGUUGGGUUUGGGGUUUCUCCCCCGCUCACGGUGUGCUUUCCCAUUGCUGAACCCGUAUGACGGAUCUUGGGGGCUCUUGCGUCCGACGCAGCUGAGCACGGUGAGCUUGGGCGAAACAAACUCUAAGGAUGGCCUUGACUUGGUGUGUAAGUUAAUAAAAGCGGAGGAGCAAACAGCGUUAGAAAUUGAGGCGAAGUCGCAUCCCAGGUGGAUACAUUUGAGGACACUGCUGAGGGCCUCGUGCUCCUGCAGAAGGGUGUUCUAUAUAGUGCAUUCGUGAAGGUUUAAUGUAGGGUCACAUCAAAAACAGACUCAAAAGAAGCAAGGCAAUAAUAUCUAACUAUGUCAUGUUUAUAAAAUUAUAAUUUAAAUAAAGCCACUUUAAAAACCAGUGGAGUACUCUGCAUUGCCACAAAGCCCUCACAGAUGUGUUAAAGCAGCUUUAGAGUGAGAAACCACUUCAGUGUGCCCCAGUCCACAAGAUAAUACAAAAAGGUGGGUGAGAUUGUGCUAAAAACUAUUGAAAUAAAUGAUCUUGUGCAAUCUAGGUGUCUCUCAUUGAUCCCUGAAUGUUGUUUGUAUCGGCACAGGAGACUCCCAUGGUGCUGGAGAGGUUCAGUCACUGAAACCACCAUGAGGGGUUAAAACAGUGUUGGAGUGUGGAGGAAACCCUUUUAGGCUCAUGAGUUAAUUAAGGGAUUGUGAAAAAUGCCUCCUGCCUCUUCCUUGGAGCCCAUCACGCUGCCCUCAUUUUUCACAUGUUAAUGAAAAAUGCAUAUUCCUCUGGAAAAACAGCAAUCGGUGGCUGACAGGGAAAUGUUUUCAGUGUAACAUCAUGACAGGUGUGACUGUUACAAAUGCUGCUCGUUUUUCUCGAUGUGGAAGGGCAGCAAUGCCUCUGCUCCAGGGUUUUGAACAAGGAACGUCCCUGUUGAGCCGCCAAGGGAUUAAAUAACAGCAGAGAGGUGGGGUGAGAGAGCCCAUCUUCACCAGGAGUGGAUGGCAAAGGGUAAAUUCCCAACUGCCUGCAGAUGUUCUGCAUCUGUGACAGAGUUUUAGGGCUUCACAGUUCUCUUUGUAGUGGAACACAACGCGGUGAGCGAGCAGUGACUGCGGCCCCUGCAGUUCCAGCACGGCUCUACGUGACUUCACUGGGUGAUUUGGGGGAAAUAAUGGAGUUUUUGGACUAUUUAACAAGCUAUUCACAAUUUAACAAGCUGUUCAGUUAUUUGCCAGCUCAGCAGAAACACUUUUUGGAGUUCCCAACCCUGGAAGUGUCCAAGGAAUGACAGGACACGGCACUCAGUUACGUGGUCUGGGUGACAGGGUGGUGGUGAGGGGCCAAGGACCGGACUCAGUGAUCUGGGAGGUCUUCUCCAACCUACGAUUCAGGGAUUCUGUGACCCCUGGAAGUGUGUCCAAGGCCAGGUUGGCCAAGGCUUGGAACAACCUGGGAUAGUGGAAGGUGUCCCUGCCCAUGGCAGGUGUGGGACCAGGUGAGCUGUAAGGCCCCUCCCAAUGCAAAUAAAAAACCCAACAAGUCCUCUCCCCACAAAAAAAAACCCCACAAAGAUCCUGAUUAUGCUUUUCCCAGGUGCAGGGAAACUCCAUCCUUUGCCAAGAAAUGAACGUCUAUUUUCAAAAACUUAUUAAAACCACUGAAAGUUAUUCUUAAAGGCGUCAUAAACCAAUGAUUUAUCUCUAAGCAAAGAGAUUUCCUCUGCACAUGCUGGGGCAUGUCUGGAUGCAAACGGAAAACACAGCACACUGCCAGUGGGAAUUUUUCCUGGAAGCCAGCCCAAAAGGACACACACGGGUGGAGACUUAAAGGAGAAAAGCCAGACAAGCAGCGGUAACACCACCGGAGUUCAAAUCGUCCCAGGUGGAUUGGGAAUGCUCAUUUUUUUAAUUUCCAAAACCCUGCUGUUUUCCUUCAUGAGAACAGCCACGCCAUACAGCUGGCCCCCCGAUGUGCUCAGAUCCAGGGUCCCUGGAGCAGAGUCACGGGGCACAGGGAAGCAGAAUCAUUUAAAUUGCGUGUGGUUAUUUGUCCGGUUGGUAGCAAUAAAAGGUUCAUUUAAAAAAAUUAAAAAUAAUAAAAAUCAUGGGUUUGCUGUGA
Corvus hawaiiensis (hawaiian crow) is the source of this 2387-nucleotide long non-coding RNA. RefSeq lists it as uncharacterized. The transcript has 2 exons. NCBI's taxonomy places the organism in Eukaryota, Metazoa, Chordata, Aves, Passeriformes, Corvidae. The record is from RefSeq and is a predicted model, not a curated record.